This 79-nucleotide small nuclear RNA is filed under the name Homo sapiens (human). Its description in RNAcentral is "partial ncRNA". Lineage: Eukaryota; Metazoa; Chordata; Mammalia; Primates; Hominidae. The record is from RNAcentral.
AGAGAAUUGCUUGAACCUGGGAGGCGGAGGUUGCUGUGAGCCGAGAUCAUGCCAUGGCACUCCGGCCUGGGUGACAGUG